CGCAAAUGAGCUGGAUUGAUUGAUUAAUUAAUUAAAAAGCGGCGGGGUGUUGGCGCCCCCUGGCGGGCGGGAGGACCGGCGGAGGCCACGCCCCCUCCGCUGCGUGCGCGCGCGGCGCGAUGACGUCACGCCAGCACAGCGUGAUGACGUCGUGGCCACGCCCCCUGGGGCAGCGCGCGCGCGCGGAGUCUCCCCCUCACGAUCCCCCCCCGCGUUUUUCGGUUUCCUUUUUCCGCCGCUUUUCCUUUUUUUCCUUCCGGGACGAAGCGGAAGCGGGGAAAAAAUAAAAAACAAACCCCGAAGGGCCCGGGAUGAGCGGCCGCAGCCGGCCGGGCCUGCGGCGUCCAUGACAGGCUGGGCGGGGGCCCCGGCGACGCGCGGGAGGUGAUGGCGCAUCGCUUCUUCUGCGGCAUCGACUGGGACGACGUGGUGCAGAGAAAGCUGGUGCCGCCCUUCCGGCCUCAGGUGACGUCCGAGGUGGACACCAGGUACUUUGACGAGGAGUUCACGGCCCAGAGCGUCACAGUGACCCCCCCUGAGAGCUGUGAGCACCUGGGCUCUCCGGAGUGCGACCACCGGACGCAUUUCCCGCAGUUCUCCUACUCGGCCAGCGUCCGGGAGUGACACACCUGGGGACACCUGGGGACACCUGGGGACACCUGGGGACAGCUGGGCACACCUGGACACACCUGGGGACACCUGGGCACACCUGGGGACACCUGUGCCCCUCCCCCCCCCACCUGUGCCCCCCAGGUGUUCUGGCCCCUCCCCCCCCAGGUGUUUUCUCCAUUUCCAGGAUUUCGGUGCCGAUUUUUGGACUUUUUGGGGGAAAAAAAAAAAAUUCCCAGCAGUGGCCUUGGACCCCCUGGAGCUCCCAGUCCAUCCCAGUUCCCUCCCAGUUUGUCCCAGUCCAUCCCAGUCCGUCCCAGUUUGUCCCAGUCCAUCCCAGUUCCCUCCCAGUCCAUCCCAGUUCCCUCCCAGUCCGUCCCAGUUUGUCCCAGUUCCCUCCCAGUCCAUCCCAGUCCAUCCCAGUUUGUCCCAGUUCGUCCCAGUCCAUCCCAGUUCCCUCCCAGUCCAUCCCAGUUCCCUCCCAGUCCAUCCCAGUUCUCUCCCAGUCCAUCCCAGUUUGUCCCAGUUCCCUCCCAGUCCAUCCCAGUCCAUCCCAGUUUGUCCCAGUCCAUCCCAGUUCCCUCCCAGUCCAUCCCAGUUCCCUCCCAGUCCAUCCCAGUUCCCUCCCAGUCCAUCCCAGUUCCCUCCCAGUCCAUCCCAGUUUGUCCCAGUCCAUCCCAGUUCCCUCCCAGUCCGUCCCAGUUUGUCCCAGUCCAUCCCAGUUCCCUCCCCGUCCAUCCCAGUUCCCUCCCAGUCCAUCCCAGACUCACCUGGGACCCCCCCUCCCCCACCCCUGGCACAGCUCCGGGCCCCUCCCCCACACCAGCGUUGCCUUUGGGGCCCCUCCCCCACCCCUCCAUUUUUAUUUUUGUUUUUUUCCCCCCCAGGAAUUUCCCAAAUCCGGUGGAAUUCAUGGAAAAAACGUGAAUUUUUUCAUGGUGGGGGAGGGGUGGGGGAGGGGAAGCCCCUCCCCCUGUGGGGGGAUGUUGAGCGGUACAAAAUAAAUAAAAUAAAUGAGAUUUUUUUUUUUGGUUCUCUUUUUGCCUUUUUUUGGGAAUUUGUGGGGAAAUUCACCAUUGGAUCCGCCCAAAGGUUUGACAGCCCCAAAAUGUCCCAAAAUGUCCCAAAAUGUCCCCAAAAAAUCCCUUCAAAACCUCUGGGGCACCCAGAAUUCCUCUGGGCGCCCGAAAAUCCCCCUAAAAUUCCCCCAGGGAACCCCAAAAUCCCGCUGGGGAUCCCCAAAGAACACCUGAGCAACCACCCUCCUGAUCGAUCACUAAUGCCUGCCAAUCAAUCACUCUGGGAUCGAUUAGUAGUGCCUGUCGAUCGAUCGCUCGGCAAUCGAUUGCUAAUGCCUGCCGAUCGACAAUUCGGCGAUCGACCGCUAAUGCCUGCCGAUCGAUGAUUCGGCAAUCGAUUGCUAAUGCCUGCCGAUCGAGUAAUCGGCGAUCGAUUGCUAAUGCCUGCCGAUCGAGUAAUCGGCGAUCGAUUGCUAAUGCCUGCCGAUCGAUUGUUCGGCGAUCGAUUGCUAAUGCCUGCCGAUCGAUUGCUCGGCGAUCGAUUGCUAAUGCCUGCCGGUCGAUGAUUCCGCGAUCGACUGCUAAUGCCUGUCGAUCGAUGAUUCAGAUAUCGACUGCUAAUGCCUGCCGAUCGAUUCAUCGGCACUCGACUGCUAAUGACUGCCGCUCGAUUGCUCGGCGCUCGAUCGCUAAUGCCUGCCGAUCGAUUGCUCGGCAAUUGACUGCUAAUGCCUGCCGAUCGAUUGCUCGGCGCUCGACUGGUGAUACCUGCCGAUCGAUGAUUCGGCACUCAACUGCUAAUGCCUGUCGAUCGAUGACUCGGCACUCGAUUGCUGAUGCCUGUCGAACGAUUGCUCGGCGAUCGACUGCUAAUGCCUGCCGAUCAAUUGCUCGGCAAUCGACUGCUAAUGCCUGCCAAUUGAUGGCUCGGCAAUCGACUGCUAAUGCCUGCCGAUCGAUUGCUCGGCAAUCGACUGCUAAUGCCUGCCGAUCGAUGAUUCGGCGCUUGACUGCUAAUGCCUGCCGAUCGAUGAUUCGGCGCUCUACUCGUGAUGCCUGGUGAUCGAUGACUCGGCACUCGAUUGCUAAUGCCUGUUGAUCGAUUGCUCGGCGCUCGACUGGUG
Catharus ustulatus (Swainson's thrush) is the source of this 2752-nucleotide long non-coding RNA. Lineage: Eukaryota; Metazoa; Chordata; Aves; Passeriformes; Turdidae. The record is from Ensembl.